UACGGGGGGGGCAAGCGUUGUUCGGAAUUACUGGGCGUAAAGGGCUCGUAGGUGGCCAAUUAAGUCAGACGUGAAAUCCCCAGGCUUAACCUGGGAACUGCGUCUGAUACUGGUUGGCUUGAAUUCGGGAGAGGGAUGCAGAAUUCCAGGUGUAGCGGUGAAAUGCGUAGAUAUCUGGAGGAAUACCGGUGGCGAAGGCGGCAUCCUGGACCGAGAUUGACACUGAGGAGCGAAAGCCAGGGGAGCAAACGGG
Molecule: ribosomal RNA, 253 nt
Filed under: uncultured bacterium
Lineage: Bacteria
Description: partial 16S ribosomal RNA
Rfam family: Bacterial small subunit ribosomal RNA
Source: RNAcentral